Molecule: non-coding RNA, 3634 nt
Organism: Ictidomys tridecemlineatus (thirteen-lined ground squirrel)
Lineage: Eukaryota; Metazoa; Chordata; Mammalia; Rodentia; Sciuridae
Source: RefSeq, a predicted model, not a curated record
GGGGAAGAAUCUACUUUUUCUUUCUUUCUUUCCUUCCUUCCUUCUUUCCUUCCUUCCUUCCUUUCUUCCUUUCUUUCUUUCUUUAUUGCUAUUGAAACCAGGGGUGUUCUGCCACUGAGCUAAAUCUGAGCCCCUUUUUUAUUUCGAGUCAGUGUUUUGCUAAAUUGCCAAUUCUGAGUUUGGGACUCUCCUAUCUCAGACUUCAGAGUCUGGCAUCAUAGGCAUACACCACCAUGCAUGGCUAGGGAGAAGAAUCCACUUCUAAAAUCAUUCAGAUUGUUGGCAGAAUUUAUGUCCUUGGAGCUGUAGGCCUAAGUCCCUAUUUUUUUGUUUUUGUUUGUGCAUUUUGCUGACUGAUAGCCUCAGGUUUCUCUCAGCCUUUGGAGACCAUUCAUAUUGCUUCUCCUUUGACCUUUUCAUCUUCAAAGUUAGAAAAUUUUAAUCUUUGAUUUAUUUUUAAAAAUUUUUUAGUUGUAGAUGGACACAAUACCUUUAUUUUAUUUAUUUAUUUUUAUGUGGUGCUGAGGAUUGAACCCAAUGCCUCACACAUGCCAAAUUAGUUCACUACCAUAGAGCCACAACCCCAGCCGCUAAUCUUCAAUUUCUCCUUUUGCCAUCAUCUUGAGAACUGUCUGCUUUGAAAGGGUUCUUGUGAUCACAUUAAGCCCCACAAAUAAUCUUUCCCUCACAUAAUAAUGAAAGUAAUGUCAUAUUUGCUGCUUCCACCAACACCACAGGGAUGGAUGGUAUAUGGAUAAGUCUUUUUAGGGUUAGUCUUAGAAUUUUACUUAUCUCAGGGUCAGUAUGCAUACCUUUUGUCAGGUAAGUUUUUUUCCCCACAGAAACAGCCUCACUUUCUGUUCCUUAGGUCACCUCACAGUUUUGAUGAUUUUCUAGAAUGACUCAAAGAAUUCAGGAAGUGAAUGACCAGUUAAUUAUAAAGGAUAUAACUCAGGGAACACCCAAUGGAAGAGACAUAGGGCAGGGUCUGGGGUGGCCACUCAGAGCUUCCAUUCUUUCAUUCUCUCUCUGAUUAUGCCACUUUCCCCACACAUAAAUGUGUUCACCAAUCCAAAUGGCCCCCAAGUCCUAUCAUUUAGGGAGUUUUUCUUUUUUAAAUUUUCUUUGCAGUUUUAUUAAGUAGAGAAACAUUCUUUGAUUUCUAACUUUCAUGACAAAUAACACAUAAACAAUUAACUAAAUCUUUGUUGAAACUUGAAUAAUGCAGGGAUUUAGUUAGGCUGUUAAAUGGAAAUAUCAGAGAUAUCAGAGCUCCUCUCUAUGGAAAUGACCAUUGAUGGAAAGAUGGACUGUAAACAGUGUACAUUACCACACAUCUAAUUUUUCAUCAUUUCAAGCAGCUCUCAGUUAUAUGACAUAAAGCCCUUUAAAAUAGAUAUACAUCUAGUGAAUACAAAUUAUCACAUUUGACAGCAAUGAAUAGUUAAAAUUAAUCAUAGGUGAAUGAAUAGUUCAAAUAUCUCUUCUCAGAGAGACUCAUGCCUAAGAUGGACGAAUUAAAAUAGUGAUAACAUAAGAAUGAGCUUGGAAAGAUGGGUAUGGGUGUUGGGUAUAGUGGCUGGGAUCUGGGAGAGGGCUUCAGACCUUAAUUAGCAUGAUACACACAUAUGGAUAUUACAUAAUCAUCUGAAAUUUAGAGAAACCAGGACAAGUUUAAUAGAGGAACUCCUACUUCAUUUGCCUCCUAUAACUUGCUCAAUGGAAUCCCUUCCUGACCUUCUAGGAGUGUAGACUGAGACCACUGGUCAUUCUGCACCCAGAAUCUUCUGGAAGUCUGUGACAAGGAGAGCUUUCUCUCUGUAAUUUGUGCUGAUUUGGAGCCAGACUAGCUGGAGAGAAGGAAAAAAAUUGAAGGAGCAUAAGUUGUUCCAGUGUAGAUUCCUCCACUAGUUCCAUCCCCACUAUGAGGACUUUUCCUGGCACUAAGUUACAACAGAAAGGGCAUUAUUCAGAUUUCAGCUCUGCUGGUUCUGGUUGUAUGACCUCUGUAAGAGAUUUUCCCUCUCUGAGCCUGAGUGCCCUUGUUUGUAGAAUGAGGCUGAUCUCCGUUCAGGAGUAAAUGGAGCAGUGCAGGGGAACACAGCACAACGUCUCGCAUGUGGUAGGCUCUUGUAAAGAGUAGUCAUUAAGCAUUAAGCUUCUGCUUCCUUUUAGGGUUUAAAUUCUGUUAAUACUAUAAUAAAUAUUUAAUUUGUUUACCCGACACUUUACAGUUUGUUAACAUUGUGAGGCAUAUAUUAACCCUAUCUUACAGAGAAAAUGAGAUUCUGUGAAGUUAUAUGUUAUUAAUUUAGUUUAUCUUGAUUUCACAGCAGAUAUUUCUCAUGACUCCCAAAUUCUCUGUGAUUGGUGAUAAUGUGUACUGGAUGCAUUCCAGGGUCACACCUUCUGCAAAAGUGACCAGGAAGGUGAUUGGAAGGAGGUGGAGUCUAUCAGCGCUACAGAUCCCCUCAGCUGCUUGAGGCCAGCUGCUGUCACCUUCUACCCACUGCUUCGUCACCCUGACCUGUGUAUACACAUUGGUCCCUCCCAUGCACUGGUAUCAGGAACUCAGGAAUGAGUGCCAUUUUCCCAGAGAUUAGGGAGACAUUGGUUGCUCAAACCCUUUUUAGGCACCAGCUUCUGCAGGGUGAUGUUCUAAAAAUGGUUGCCUAAUUUCUUCAUCUUCACUUUAACAGUUUAUCCCCCUUUUAACAAAUGAAGGAAGAAUAAAAGACAUUAAAAUUUCCCUCCAAGAUGACACAGCAAAUAAGUGACAGCUCCAAGACUCUAAUGCAUGAUCAAAUAGCAACUUCAGAGUCUAAGCUCUGACGUGUGUCCAGUGCCCUCGUUUCAAUGCUAAAGGGAUUUGCAAGAGUGAGAAAAGCUCCUGUCAGGCUCAUGGCAGCCAGGAAUGCUUCCUGAGGAAAGUCUAUGAAGGUGACAGACUCCUGUAUGGGUACCAGGGCUGUAGUGACUUGUGCAUUCCCAUGUCCUUCAUCAACCGAAAUGUGAAAGUGGAUUUAAUGUGCUGCAGUAACACAUCUUUCUGCAACAGUCUUUAGAGGCCUGAUCCUUUUUGCCCUCUUCUCCUUUGGGUAGGCAUUUGCCCUCCAGCGUAGCCCUUCCCUGCACUCCUGUACCCUUGAAACACUGGCUGUUUUUUGCCAGCACUGCCCAAGCCCUGACACCUGCUUGUUCUCAGCAUCAGGUGUUGACAUUUCAAUAGCUCACUCCCUGGACACCCUCAGUGCUCCUCCUUUCUCAGAUUCUAGUUUCCUUUCCUCUCUCCCUCCAUCAAUGGCUGGCAAAUAGCAAGCUCUCCCAAUCCCCUUCUCCAUCUUUUUCUUUCUUCAACAAAUAUUUUUUAACUACUAAAAACUGUCAUUAUGCAAUGAUUAUUCAACAAUGAAUAAAGUCAGACCUGACCUCUACCCUCAACGGAUUUUCAGUUUAAUUAUUUUUGGGAUUAAAUCUAUAGCCUUGGGCAUGCUAAGCACUUGCUCUGCCACUCCAGUUGUACUCCAGCUCUCCAGUUAUACUUUACAUGUACACACACACACACACAGCCUUUCCUAUCUUUUGGAAAAAAUCUAUAGUAUAGCUUUUUCCUAAUAAAUCUCAUGUUUUUGAA